GCCCCUGUAGCUCAGUGGUAGAGCGCGUCCUUGGUAAGGACGAGGUCACGAGUUCAAUCCUCGUCGGGGGCU
Molecule: transfer RNA, 72 nt
Filed under: Limnofasciculus baicalensis BBK-W-15
Lineage: Bacteria; Bacillati; Cyanobacteriota; Cyanophyceae; Coleofasciculales; Coleofasciculaceae
Description: tRNA-Thr
Rfam family: tRNA
About the family: Transfer RNA (tRNA) molecules are approximately 80 nucleotides in length. Their secondary structure includes four short double-helical elements and three loops (D, anti-codon, and T loops).
Source: RNAcentral